Molecule: long non-coding RNA, 452 nt
Filed under: Mytilus galloprovincialis (Mediterranean mussel)
Lineage: Eukaryota; Metazoa; Mollusca; Bivalvia; Mytilida; Mytilidae
Source: RNAcentral
CAUCCUUCAUGGAUGUUAUAUUUUCUAGAGACAACAAUAUUAUUUAAACUCUAACAAAACUUGCAUGAUAAAGGUUCCAAUGGCGUAUUACUCAAUUUAUUUCACUUGACUGGGCGGAGUUUAACCGAUUCGCUCACAAUAAACCAGUCCAUCUAUAGAUAGGUGUUUUAGGAUAAACUCAUCAAUGAAGUGUCCAGUCAUUGUUUUUUUUUAAUUCCUUUGAUGACACUGAUAGGUGAUUAGAAAUCAGUAAUAAUUAUAACGGCUAUCAUCCUUAUCACACACAUCUUCAAAUAGACUGUCCUUAUGCAAAUUAAAACGUAAGCUCCCCCGAUCAGUUGAAGAUGACAUUGGUAAUAGCACUAGUGUAGCAUUGUAAGCAAGUGCUUACAAAUAAAUUAAUAAAACUUUUUUUAAAUAAAACAUUCAGCUGCUUUUGGACUGUCGUCCCC